UACGGAGGGUGCAAGCGUUAUCCGGAUUCACUGGGUUUAAAGGGUGCGUAGGCGGAUAGGUAAGUCCGUGGUGAAAUCCUGCAGCUUAACUGCAGAACUGCCAUGGAUACUAUUUAUCUUGAAUAUCGUGGAGGUUAGCGGAAUAUGUCAUGUAGCGGUGAAAUGCUUAGAUAUGAUGUAGAACACCGAUUGCGAAGGCAGCUCACUAAAUUGUAACUGACGCUGAGGCACGAAAGCGUGGGGAUCAAACAGG
RNAcentral lists this ribosomal RNA (253 nucleotides) under uncultured bacterium. RNAcentral describes it as "partial 16S ribosomal RNA". It matches the Rfam family "Bacterial small subunit ribosomal RNA", at positions 524 to 776 of the family's 1533-position model. The record is from RNAcentral.